CCAGGUUUCUGGAAAGCCUUCUAGGCAGCCAGCACAAGGUCAAAUACUUCUGCACAGAGAAUCCCUGCAGGGGGAUUUGUUCCGGGAAGGGAAUUACAUUUCAAUUUGAUUUAAUUCAAUGAGAAUGACACCAAAUUGAUCAGCUGGUAAAAUGCCAUUUGAUGGGCAGAUCUGCUCUUUCCAAGUCAAUAGGAACCUCCAGAAAAAUCAGUCUUGCUUUUUCAGACAGAACUGAAAGUUUUACCCGUUUCCUUUGCCUUUUAAAAAGGGCUCAAAUUCCCUGAAGGUGGAGGGCCUUUUCCUCAUAGAUUUAGGGACCUGAGCAAAGUAAUUAACCAACAGGCACCCAGGGGACACUGUGCAACUUCUGUAUCAGGUAGAGUGUGUGUGUGUGUGUGUGUGUGUGUGUGUGUGUGUGUGGUAUCACAUCAGUCAUCUUGUUCCAGACUUUCCUGUGAUCUUGACAGACUUCUCAGUUUCUCUGGGUCUCAGUUCUACCAUCUAUAAGAUGGGCAUUUAGCCUCCCUCGGUCCUGCACUGGGCCAUGUCCUUUGGAGCAGUGGCACGAACAAUAACCACAGUCCCCAACAACCACUGCCACGGUCCCAGCAAAUCAUCACUAGCAUUAUUUUUUCUUUUUUUGGUGCUGGCAAGUGUUAGGCAAGUACUCUGCCUCUGAGCCACAUCCCCAAUAGUGUCAUUCUUGAGCAGUUACUCUGUGCUGGGCACGAUUGAAAACUUCAUAUGUUUUUAUGGUUUGAGUAUGAGGUGUCACCAAAACGUCCUGCAUCCUGCGUUAAUGCAGGAAUAUCCAGAGUGAAAUGGUUAGGCUAUGAGAGUUGUAACCCAAUCAGCCCUUUCUAAUUCGAUAUGGACUGACUAGGUGGUAACUGUAGGUAGGUGGGGCUUGGCUGCAGGAGGCGGGUCACUGGGAUCACACCUGGAAGGGUUCAUCUUCCCUUCGCCUUCUCCCUCCUUACUUCCUGGCCACCAUGAGCUGAGCAGUGGUCCUCCAUGGUGCCCUCCCGCCAUGACGGUCUGCUUCACCUCAGGCCCACAGCCAUGGAGUCAGCCAGCCAGGAACUGAACUUGUGAAACUACAAGUUGAGAUAAACUGUCCCUCCUCUAAAUUAUUCUUGUCAGGUAUUUUGGUCAUACCGAUGUAAAGCUGACUAACACGUACGCAUUAUAUCACAUGAUAUUUGUAAUC
RNAcentral lists this long non-coding RNA (1210 nucleotides) under Marmota monax (woodchuck). The record is from RNAcentral. Lineage: Eukaryota; Metazoa; Chordata; Mammalia; Rodentia; Sciuridae.